RNAcentral lists this ribosomal RNA (440 nucleotides) under uncultured bacterium. RNAcentral describes it as "partial 16S ribosomal RNA". It matches the Rfam family "Bacterial small subunit ribosomal RNA", at positions 28 to 507 of the family's 1533-position model. The record is from RNAcentral.
GACGAACGCUGGCGGCGUGCCUAAUGCAUGCAAGUCGCACGCGGCACCUUCGGGUGCUGAGUGGCGAACGUCUGAGGAACACGUGGGGACCUGUCCGGGAGUGGGGGACAACACCGCGAAAGCGGUUCUAAUCCCGCAUACGCUCUGAGGAGGAAAGCCGAAAGGCGCUCCCGGGUGGCCCUGCGGCCCAUCAGGUUGUUGGUGGGGUAACGGCCUACCAAGCGAAUGACGGGGCGCUGGUCUGGGAGGACGACCAGCCAGACUCGGAGUGGGACACGGCCCAGACUCCUACGGGAGGCAGCAGCAAGGAAUUUGCGGCAAUGGGCGCAAGCCUGACCGAGCAACGGCGCGUGAAGGAAGGCGGCCUUCGGGUUGUAAACUGCUUUUGCUAGGGAUGAUAACAGACAGUACCUGGCGAAUCAGCCCCGGCUAACUCUGUG